AUUGUAGUCUGCAACUCGACUACAUGAAGCUGGAAUCGCUAGUAAUCGCGGAUCAGAAUGCCGCGGUGAAUACGUUCCCGGGUCUUGUACACACCGCCCGUCACACCAUGGGAGUCGGGAAUGCCCGAAGCCAGUGACCCAAGCGAAAGCAGGGAGCUGUCGAAGGCAGGCCGGAUAACUGGGGUGAAGUCGUAACAAGGUAUC
RNAcentral lists this ribosomal RNA (204 nucleotides) under uncultured bacterium. Its description in RNAcentral is "partial 16S ribosomal RNA". It matches the Rfam family "Bacterial small subunit ribosomal RNA", at positions 1297 to 1500 of the family's 1533-position model. The record is from RNAcentral.